CUCGUAGGUGGUUUGUCGCGUCGUCUGUGAAAUUCCGGGGCUUAACUCCGGGCGUGCAGGCGAUACGGGCAUAACUUGAGUACUGUAGGGGAGACUGGAAUUCCUGGUGUAGCGGUGAAAUGCGCAGAUAUCAGGAGGAACACCGGUGGCGAAGGCGGGUCUCUGGGCAGUAACUGACGCUGAGGAGCGAAAGCAUGGGUAGCGAACAGGAUUAGAUACCCCCGUA
This 226-nucleotide ribosomal RNA is filed under the name uncultured Corynebacterium sp. RNAcentral describes it as "partial 16S ribosomal RNA". It matches the Rfam family "Bacterial small subunit ribosomal RNA", at positions 568 to 792 of the family's 1533-position model. Lineage: Bacteria; Bacillati; Actinomycetota; Actinomycetes; Mycobacteriales; Corynebacteriaceae. The record is from RNAcentral.